GACGGAGGGUGCAAGCGUUGUUCGGAUUGACUGGGCGUAAAGGGCGUGUAGGCGGUUGGUUAAGUCGGAUGUGAAAGCCUGGGGCUCAGCCCCAGAAGUGCAUCCGAUACUAGCUAGCUAGAGCGCGAUAGAGGAGGGUGGAAUUCCCGGUGUAGCGGUGAAAUGCGUAGAUAUCAGGAGGAACACCGGCGGCGAAGGCGGCCCUCUGGAUCGUUGCUGACGCUGAGGCGCGAAAGCCGGGGGAGCAAACAGG
This 253-nucleotide ribosomal RNA is filed under the name uncultured bacterium. RNAcentral's name for it is "partial 16S ribosomal RNA". It matches the Rfam family "Bacterial small subunit ribosomal RNA", at positions 524 to 776 of the family's 1533-position model. The record is from RNAcentral.